UCAGCCCAGGCCACAGCUGACCAAGAGGACUCCGGAGUAAGGGCAGAAGACCCAACAGCUGAGCCCCGUGCUGACCAGGAACCAGUGAGAACUGAGGACACAGGAGCUGGGGCAGAGGACACAGGAGAUAGGACUGAGGAGGAUGAUUGUAAGGCCCUCAAUGGUGAGGG
Lingula anatina is the source of this 170-nucleotide long non-coding RNA. NCBI's taxonomy places the organism in Eukaryota, Metazoa, Brachiopoda, Lingulata, Lingulida, Lingulidae. The record is from RefSeq and is a predicted model, not a curated record.